GACGAACGCUGGCGGCGUGCCUAACACAUGCAAGUCGAGCGAAUGAAGUUCCUUCGGGAAUGGAUUUAGCGGCGGACGGGUGAGCAACACGUGGGCAACCUGCCUCAUAGAGGGGAAUAGCCUCCCGAAAGGGAGAUUAAUACCGCAUAAGAUUGUAGUACCGCAUGAUACAGCAAUUAAAGGAGCAAUCCGCUAUGAGAUGGGCCCGCGGCGCAUUAGCUAGUUGGUGAGGUAAUGGCUCACCAAGGCGACGAUGCGUAGCCGACCUGAGAGGGUGAUCGGCCACAUUGGGACUGAGACACGGCCCAGACUCCUACGGGAGGCAGCAGUGGGGAAUAUUGCACAAUGGGGGAAACCCUGAUGCAGCAACGCCGCGUGAGUGAUGACGGCCUUCGGGUUGUAAAGCUCUGUCUUCAGGGACGAUAAUGACGGUACCUGAGGAGGAAGCCACGGCUAACUACGUG
RNAcentral lists this ribosomal RNA (464 nucleotides) under uncultured bacterium. RNAcentral's name for it is "partial 16S ribosomal RNA". It matches the Rfam family "Bacterial small subunit ribosomal RNA", at positions 28 to 507 of the family's 1533-position model. The record is from RNAcentral.